UACGUAGGGUGCGAGCGUUGUCCGGAAUUAUUGGGCGUAAAGAGCUUGUAGGCGGUUUGUCGCGUCUGCCGUGAAAGCCCAGGGCUUAACCCUGGGUCUGCGGUGGGUACGGGCAGACUAGAGUGUGGUAGGGGAGACUGGAAUUCCUGGUGUAGCGGUGAAAUGCGCAGAUAUCAGGAGGAACACCGAUGGCGAAGGCAGGUCUCUGGGCCACUACUGACGCUGAGAAGCGAAAGCAUGGGGAGCAAACAGG
Molecule: ribosomal RNA, 253 nt
Filed under: uncultured bacterium
Lineage: Bacteria
Description: partial 16S ribosomal RNA
Rfam family: Bacterial small subunit ribosomal RNA
Source: RNAcentral